This 565-nucleotide ribosomal RNA is filed under the name Exobasidium vaccinii. Its description in RNAcentral is "LSU rRNA". It matches the Rfam family "Eukaryotic large subunit ribosomal RNA", at positions 87 to 642 of the family's 3401-position model. The record is from RNAcentral. Lineage: Eukaryota; Fungi; Basidiomycota; Exobasidiomycetes; Exobasidiales; Exobasidiaceae.
CGGCGAGUGAAGCGGGAUGAGCUCAAAUUUGAAAGCUGGCAGUAAUGUCCGCGUUGUAAUCUCGAGAGUUGUUUUCCGUGCUGGACCGAGUACAAGUUCCUUGGAAUAGGAUGUCAUAGAGGGUGAAAAUCCCGUACUUGACUUGGACGCCCAGUGCUUUGUGAUACAUCUUCGAAGAGUCGAGUUGUUUGGGAAUGCAGCUCAAAAUGGGUGGUAAAUUCCAUCUAAAGCUAAAUAUUGGGGAGAGACCGAUAGCGAACAAGUACCGUGAGGGAAAGAUGAAAAGCACUUUGGAAAGAGAGUUAAACAGUACGUGAAAUUGUCAAAAGGGAAGCCAUUUGAAGUCAGACGUGUAUUUCAGUAUUCAGCCUUGCUUUUGCUUGGUGUUUUGCUGUUGUACAGGCCAACAUCAGUUUUGAGUGACGGAUAAGGGUAGGAGGAAUGUGGCACCCUCGGGUGUGUUAUAGCCUCUUACUGGAUACGUCGUUUGGGACUGAGGAACGCAGCGCGCCGUAAGGCAGACCUUCGGGUACUUUCGCGUUAGGAUGUUGGCGUAAUGGCUUUA